Non-coding RNA from Motacilla alba alba, 495 nucleotides. The record is from the annotation of a RefSeq genome assembly. Lineage: Eukaryota; Metazoa; Chordata; Aves; Passeriformes; Motacillidae.
CGGCGGAGCGGCGCCAUGCGGCGGGCUCGGGCCGCGGGGCUGCCGGCGCUGGCCGCGCUGCUGCUCGUGGCUGCGGUCAGAGCUCAAGUGCAGCAGGAGCCGUUCCUGGAGACCACCGAGGGCACCAGCAUCAGCAUCAAGUGCUCACACGCCAAUAUCCGGACUGGCGAUUUCAUCUACUUCUACCGUCAGCUGCCGGGCCAAAGCCCCGAACUCCUAGCCAUGACUGCUAAAGCGUCCAAGGAGGUGCGAGCCCCUGAAGGGCGUCUGACGGUGUCGGCAGAUCGGCGUUCCAGCGCGCUGUGGCUGGCUGCGCCCCGGCGCGGGGACGCGGCCGUGUAUUACUGCGCGCUGGGGACCACGGGCAGAGGAGCCGGGGCUGCGGCCGGGCACGAACCGCCGCGGGCGGGGCCGGGCGGGGCCAGCAGGGGCCGCUCCGCUCCCGGCUGACGCCGCUCGGCGGGGCACGGACCGAGCCGCGCCUGGAACCCGCGC